RNAcentral lists this ribosomal RNA (482 nucleotides) under uncultured bacterium. RNAcentral describes it as "partial 16S ribosomal RNA". It matches the Rfam family "Bacterial small subunit ribosomal RNA", at positions 30 to 505 of the family's 1533-position model. The record is from RNAcentral.
AUUGAACGCUGGCGGCAGGCCUAACACAUGCAAGUCGAGCGGAUGAAGGGAGCUUGCUCCUGGAUUCAGCGGCGGACGGGUGAGUAAUGCCUAGGAAUCUGCCUGGUAGUGGGGGAUAACGUCCGGAAACGGGCGCUAAUACCGCAUACGUCCUGAGGGAGAAAGUGGGGGAUCUUCGGACCUCACGCUAUCAGAUGAGCCUAGGUCGGAUUAGCUAGUUGGUGGGGUAAAGGCCUACCAAGGCGACGAUCCGUAACUGGUCUGAGAGGAUGAUCAGUCACACUGGAAGGGAGACACGGUCCAGACCCCUAGGGGAGGCAGCAGUGGGGAAUAUUGGAAAAGGGGCGAAAGCCGGAUCCAGCCAUGCCGCGUGUGUGAAGAAGGUCUUCGGAUUGAAAAGCACUUUAAGUUGGGAGGAAGGGCAGUAAGUUAAUACCUUGCUGUUUUGGCGUUACCAACAGAAUAAGCACCGGCUAACUUCG